Molecule: non-coding RNA, 100 nt
Filed under: Chroomonas cf. mesostigmatica
Lineage: Eukaryota; Cryptophyceae; Pyrenomonadales; Chroomonadaceae
Source: RNAcentral
GGCUUUCCGAAUGCGCCCCGCAUUCCACUUUGCAAGCGAUCAGCUCCAGCACACGACAACAUUUUAUUGAUUCGAAUUACAUGAAAAGGAUGGAUACGAA